Long non-coding RNA from Oryzias melastigma (Indian medaka), 940 nucleotides. RefSeq lists it as uncharacterized. NCBI's taxonomy places the organism in Eukaryota, Metazoa, Chordata, Actinopteri, Beloniformes, Adrianichthyidae. The transcript has 2 exons. The record is from RefSeq and is a predicted model, not a curated record.
CUUCCUGGAAAACCAUAAAUGUUUACGUUUUGACUAUGAUUGUUACACUUUUUCUGUUAGCCUACAAACGGACCCCGGCCCCCCAUCAGAGAAGGCCCUCACAAGAACAAGUUUGGGGACCCCUGGAUUAAAGCAAUACAUCCAUUCCUACGAAGAGUGUUGGCCGCUGAACAGAGAAAGGUGGAGCGGUGCAGCACUCAUCUCAGUUCGUCCACUUGUCGUUUCUCGUGCAAACGAAAGACUCUUCAGAAAACACAGGAUGGCUUUUGAGCGUUCGAUACUUCCAUGGAACAUGCUAGAAACAUCAUCAGCGCUGAGCUUCAGAAAAAAGCUGCUCAGUUGUUCAGUGGGAUUUUCAAUAAGGCACUCCUGGAUUAUUACUUCAGAUGAAAUCUAAAAACAUUCAUUGCUUCAGUGAGGGACGACAGACCGGUGAAUGCAAGGCAUACAAAUCCAUACAAUGUAAGAAACUGACAGCAAAAACAGGACAAAAAUCAUGACUUUUCCUGUGGCACAAGACUUCCAGUCUGUUGAGAGUAGAAAUCCAAACAGCUGAGCAUCUAUUGCUUCCUAUAUCUGAAUGCACACGUGUUUGUCAUGCGGAAAGGAUGCGAGCCUUUGUUUCCUUCCCGCCUCAGAUACAAUCUUUUGUUCCAGCCGGGGAAACAUUCUUCAGUUUGGCUCAGUGACAAAGCUGCCAAUCAGACUGGCAGGGACACACAAGUACUUCUUUUUAAUUUAUGUAUAUAGUCUUUGUAACCGGGUGGGACGGAGCAGCGCACGCUUGUGCACAGCUUGAGGAUUGAUCUGUGCUUAAGAAAAACAAUCUCCUUAAUGAGCGCAGACGGGCACAGCGUGGGCGACGCUCGAUCGAUGAGCACAGGCGCACGUUCGUCUUUCCAAUCCUAAUCAAUCAGGUGAAAAAAAAAAAAAAAAAAAA